UCGUUUGUUUACCAUUCAUUUUUGCGUUUGGGAUUUUAGAACUACUUCAUAUAAGGUCUGUGUUUCGUGUAGGUUUACCCAGGCGUGACGUUUUGAUGGCCAUGUAAUUCUCUCUCGGACAAGGUACAGGAAACUCAUGGCCUACUUCGAUUGACUGUUCAGUCGUCGAGAGUGUUGGGCACACCACUAUCGGGAGGAGCUGCCAACCCAAGGGAACGACACAAAAAACUUUGUGGAGGCAGCAAUGCGGGUCCUUAAAGAUAAAAUCUUCCAGAUUACGAAAACGUUGAAUCGCCCUGCCUUAUUUGACCUGCUGACAUGCCACCUGGAGGCCUACUAUGAGGCGGGGUAAUUGAAGUUGCUCUUGGCCGCUGGAAAACGUUCCCCCUCUCACAUUUUCUGGCCCAGGAGAGCAACGUCAACCCAUCUGACAUCGAGCAGGUGAGGGAGAAGAAGUACAAGGUGAAGGGCACCACACCAGGCCAGACCUAUACUGUGGACAUGGA
Long non-coding RNA from Coregonus clupeaformis (lake whitefish), 506 nucleotides. RefSeq lists it as uncharacterized. The record is from RefSeq and is a predicted model, not a curated record. The transcript has 3 exons. Lineage: Eukaryota; Metazoa; Chordata; Actinopteri; Salmoniformes; Salmonidae.